Molecule: ribosomal RNA, 497 nt
Filed under: uncultured bacterium
Lineage: Bacteria
Description: bacterial SSU rRNA
Rfam family: Bacterial small subunit ribosomal RNA
Source: RNAcentral
GAUGAACGCUAGCGGGAGGCUUAAUACAUGCAAGUCGAGCGGUAGAUGGCUUCGGCCAUUGAGAGCGGCGCACGGGUGAGUAACACGUACAUGACCUGCCUGUCAGAAGGGGAUAGCCCUGGGAAACUGGGAUUAAUACCCUAUGGUAUUACUGGUGUAGAGCUAAGUAAUUAAAGCUGAGGCGCUGACAGAUGGAUGUGCGUCUGAUUAGCUAGUUGGUGGGGUAAAGGCCUACCAAGGCGACGAUCAGUAGGGGGCGUGAGAGCGUGAACCCCCACACGGGUACUGAGACACGGACCCGACUCCUACGGGGAGGCAGCAGUAAGGAAUAUUGGUCAAUGCCCGCAAGGGGUGAACCAGCCAUUCCGCGUGGAGGAUGAAGGCCCUAUGGGGUUGUAAACUUCUUUUAGAUGGGAAUAAAAUGCUAGAUUUAUCUGGUACUGAAGGUACCAUCAGAAUAAGCACCGGCUAAACUCCGUGCCAGCAGCCGCGGUAAU